RNAcentral lists this ribosomal RNA (588 nucleotides) under uncultured bacterium. RNAcentral describes it as "bacterial SSU rRNA". It matches the Rfam family "Bacterial small subunit ribosomal RNA", at positions 338 to 917 of the family's 1533-position model. The record is from RNAcentral.
CCUACGGGAGGCAGCAGUGGGGAAUUUUGGACAAUGGGGGCAACCCUGAUCCAGCCAUGCCGCGUGCGGGAAGAAGGCCUUCGGGUUGUAAACCGCUUUUAGUCGGGAAGAAAAGGUUAUCCCUAAUAAGGAUGACUCUUGACGGUACCGGCGUAAUAAGCACCGGCUAACUACGUGCCAGCAGCCGCGGUAAUACGUAGGGUGCGAGCGUUAAUCGGAAUUACUGGGCGUAAAGCGCGCGCAGGCGGAUUGUUAAGCAAGAUGUGAAAUCCCCGGGCUUAACCUGGGAAUGGCAUUUUGAACUGGCAAUCUAGAGUGUGUCAGAGGGGGGUAGAAUUCCACGUGUAGCAGUGAAAUGCGUAGAGAUGUGGAGGAAUACCGAUGGCGAAGGCAGCCCCCUGGGAUAACACUGACGCUCAUGUACGAAAGCGUGGGUAGCAAACAGGAUUAGAUACCCUGGUAGUCCACGCCCUAAACGAUGUCAACUGGUUGUUGGGAGAGUGAAAUCUCUUAGUAACGAAGCUAACGCGUGAAGUUGACCGCCUGGGGAGUACGGUCGCAAGAUUAAAACUCAAAGGAAUUGACGGA